CAAUAGCGUAUAUUAAACCGGUUGCGGUUAAAAAGCUCGUAGUUGGAUUUCUGUCAAGUACAACUGGUCCGCCCUCCGGGUGAGCACAUAGUUUGGUCUUGGCAUCUUGCUGGAAACUGUUGCUGCACUUGGUUGUGUGGCGCAGCAUCCAGCACUUUCACUUUGAGGAAAUUGGAGUGUUUCAAGCAGGCACAUGCCUUUGGACACAGUAGCAUGGAAUAAUUAGAUUGGGCUUUUGCUCCAAUUUGUCGGUUUCUGGAGCUGAGGUGAGAAUUAAUGGGGAUUGUUGGGGGCAUCCGAAUUUAGCCGUCAGAGGUGAAAUUCUUGGAUCUGCUAAAGACGGACAACUGCGAAAGCGUUUGCCCAGGAUGUUUUCAUUGA
RNAcentral lists this ribosomal RNA (381 nucleotides) under uncultured eukaryote. RNAcentral describes it as "partial 18S ribosomal RNA". It matches the Rfam family "Eukaryotic small subunit ribosomal RNA", at positions 592 to 976 of the family's 1831-position model. The record is from RNAcentral.